GUGAGUCCAUAGAGUAAAGUGAAGGCAAGUUUAUUAAGAAAUUAAAGGAAUAAAAGAAUGCCUACUCCAUAGGCAGAGCAGUGGUAUGGGCUGCUUGAUUAAGUAUAAUAGUUAUUUCUUGAUUAUAUUCUUAUAGUUAUUCCUUGAUUAUAUGCUAAACAAAGGGUGGAUUAUUCAUGAGUUUUCUGGGAAAGGGGUGGGCAAUUUCUGGAACGGUUUUUCCCCUUUUUAGACCAUAUAGGGUAACUUCCUGCUGUUUCCAUGACAUUUGUAAACUGUCAUGGCACUGAUGGGAGUGUCUUUUAGCAUGCUAAUGCAUUAUGAUUACCAUAUAAUAAACGGUGAAGAAGGCCAGAGGUCACUUUUGUCACCAUCUUGGUUUUGGCUGGCUUCUUUACCACAUCCUGUUUGUUGACAAAAAGAGUCAAACUAUAGAAUAUUUGAAGAGGUUUAUUCUGAGCCAAAUAUGAGUGACCAUGGCCCAUAACACAGCCCUCAGGAGGUCCUGAGAACAUGUGCCCAAGGUGGUCAGGGUGCAGUUUGGCUUUAUACAUUUUAGGGAGAAAUGAGACUUCAAUCAAAUACAUUUAAGCAAUACAUUGCUUUGGUCCAGAAAGGUGGGACAACUCAAAGCAGGGGCUUCUAGCUUACAGAUAGAUUUAAAAUUUUUCUGGUUGACAAUUGGCUGAGUUUAUCUAAAGACCUAGGAUCAACAGAAAGGAAUGUUUGGGUUAAAAUAAAGGAUUGUGAAGACCAAAGUUCUUAUUUGCAGAGGAAGCCUUCAGGUAGAAGGCUUCAGAGAGAAUAGGUUGUAAAAUGUUUCUUAUCAGACUUAAAGUCUGUGUUGAUGUUAAUGCCAGGGAUGUAUAAUGAGGCAUGUCCUACCCUCACUUCCCAGGAUAGCCUGAAUCAGUCUUUCAGGUUGAAUUUCAAGAGUGCCCUGGCUGAAGAGGAAGUCCAUUUGGAUGGUUUGGGUGCCUUAGAAUUUUAUUUUUGGUCUAGACGUUUUAUCAGCAAGGUCUUUAUAAAAUGUAUCUUGUGCCAACCUCCUAUCUCAUCCUGUGACUUAGAGUGCCUAACUUCCUAGGAAUGCAGCCCAGUGGGUCUCAGUCUUAUUUUACCCAGCCCCUAUUCAAGAUGGGGUCACUCUGGUUCAAAUGCCUCUAACAAAACCAGAUGGCCUGGGAUGGCACCAGAGCUUCUUAACCCCUGACCAGAUACUGGAGGGAGAUAUGACCCCCAAACCAGCACAGACUGGAACAGAUGACCCCUUGUUACCUUUAGAUCAUUAACAUAUCAUUAUAAUGCUAAAUUUCCCACCCUUAUGUAAAAGGAAAAUAAAUCUCAGGACCCCAAAAUCACUAAGCCAAAGGGAAGACUCAAGUUGGGAACUGCAUCAGGCAAACCUUCCUCCCAUUCUUUUCUACAUACCUCUCUCACAAUUUGCCCACAAGGAAAUUCCUUGUGGACAAAGGACAGAUAGAACUCAAAGUCAUCCCUUUGCUCAUGUAAGACAAGUGCAUAUCUGAUUGCUUCUUUUGCCUUAUUGUUUUCACUAAGCCAGACUAAAGCAUAAGUGACUAUUCCUAUGAAGUGUGUAUUCAGUGAAAGGCUAAUCAAAAACUCAAAAGAAUAUAACCAUUUGUUUCUUAUCUACCUAUGACCUGGAAGCCCCCUCCGUGCUUUGAGUUGUCCCACUUUUCUAGACCAAACCAAUGUACAUCUUACAUGUAUUGAUUGAUGUCUCAUGUCUCCUUAAAACGCAUAAAACCAAGCUGUGCCUCAAUUGCCUUGGGCACAUGUCAUCAGGACCUCCUAAGGAUAUGUCACAGGCACGUCCUUAACCUUGACAAAGUAAACUUUCUAAAUUGACUGAGACUUGUCUCAGAUACUCUUGGUUUACACUUAUAGGAAAAUCACCACCAUUUUCUGAACAUAUGUCACAUGAAGAGGAGAGUUUAUUGUCUACGCCUGUGUCUAGGGUUCCUCCUUGCACAUGUUUGCAUACUUUCCCACCCCAUGGCUAACUCCUUAAAAUUCCCCAGUGUAUUAGUCUGUUCUUAUGCUGCUAAUAAAGACAUACCGGAGACUGGGCAAUUUAUAAAGGAGAGAGGUUUAAUUGACUCACAGUUCCACAUGGCUGGGGAGGCCUCACAAUUUUGGCAGAAGGGCCAAGUGCAGUGACUCACACCUGUAAUCCCAGAACUUUGGGAGGCUGAGACAGGCAGAUCACCGAAGUCAGGAGUUUGAGAUUAGCCUGGCCAACAUGGCGAAACCCCAUCUCUACUAAAAAUUAGCCAGGCGUGGUGGUGCACACCUGUAAUCCCAGCUCCUCAGGAGACUGAGAGAGGAGAAUGGCUUGAACCUGGGAGGCAGAGGUUGCAGUGAGCCAAGAUUGCAUUACUGUACUCCCACCUGGGUGACAGAGUGAGACUCUGUCUCAAAAAAAAAAAAAAAAAAGAAAAAAAGAAAAUCAUCCUGAAGGCAAAGACGAAGCUAAGGCAUGUCUUACUUGGUGGCAGGAAAGAGAGCAAGUGCAGCAGAACUCCUCUUUAUAAAACCAUCGGAUCUCAUGAAACUUAUUCACUAUCACAAGAACAACAUAGGAAAGACCCACCCCCAUAAUUUAAUUACCUCCCACUGGAUCCCUCCCACAACAUGUGGGAAUUAUGGGAGCUACAAUUCAAGAUGAGAUUUGGGUGGGGACACAGCCAAACCAUGUCACCCAGCUUCCCAUGUCUCAGGGAGAAGAUGCUCCUUCUACAUUCCUGGCCAGGAAUAAAAUCUGUUUGUCUUUUUUUCUGAUUGGGUGUUCCUUCUUUGCGACCAAUACAAAGUAGGAAACAAACUCAGUUUACUGGCAACAAGGGGGCUCAAACAACAGGCAGAUUGAUUAUCUACAAAUUGAACAGGCCCCGGAUGUAGUGAAUGCAGGCAAGGUUGGUUCAGUGGCUGUGUAAUGUCACAAGGACUGAGGUUGUGGGGGCCAAGAGAGAACUUUCCCCUUGGCCCUUUAAAGGUUGGCUGGAAAAUCGCUGACAUGAGGCAGAUUGGUUAAUAGGAAAAAAAGGUGUACAAGUGUAUUUAACGUGUAUACACAGGAGCCUUCGAAACGAAGACUCAACUUCCCAAUAAGGUAGAGAAGCUUAUGUGCCAACUUGAGGUUUCAGAAAGAAAGGGGCCUUGGAUUCUGAUAAAACAGGUUAUGGGAACAUGGAGAAGAGGAAGUCUAUUGAUGGGAAUAAAUGAUUAUUCAGGAGAAUGAUUGAAUGGGGAACAGAAAUUAAGUUGUAAAUAGUUCUCUUUGGAAAUUAAGUGAUCCUUGGAGAUAGUCAUCAUCUUGAAAAAGGGUCCAUUCAGGUGGUUACAUUUUGGUCUUACAGGGAGGGGAAGAAAACUGUUCUCCUUGAUAGGUCUGGAUCUUAGGCAGAUAAUGGAACUUCAGUUUCUUUGGAAGAAACGGUGGAAGGUCAGAGAGACCUUGAGUCUUGUUCUUCAGUUCAGCAUGUCGUAUUUUGGGGUACUGGUUUCUGAAAACCAACAGGUUCUUUCCAUCUUUCUGUCCUUCCAUCCUCCAUGUCCCAGCUCUGUCCUCAACCUGUUCCCUUUUUAGGGCUGCUGAUAGAGGUGUAGUGUGGUGGUUGUUAAAAGGAAAACUGUAGAGAAAUUUAACAAAGUUUAAUGGAGCAAAGAAUGAUUCAUGAAUUGGGCAGCCCCCUGAAACAGAAUAGGCUUAGGGCAACUCCAGGGUUGCCAUAUGGUCCAAUACUAUUUAUGGACAAAAAAAGUAAAGUGGCGUAUGGAAGAUGGAAGUGAGGUAAACAGAAACAAUCAGAUUGGUUACAGCUCAGAGUUGGUCUUAUUUGAACGUGGUUUGAACAGUUGGCUGCCUGUGAUCAGCCAAAUCUCAGCUGCUGUGAUUGGUUGAGACUUGGCGACUUGUUGUAAGAGUAGGUUGUGGUGUGUUUACACAUCCAGUUAGGUGACAGUUCACUAUGUAUUAAGAAACCUUUAGUCCCGACUGAAAAUAUCUAAAGAAGAAGCUGUAGACUAAAUUCAAUUUAACAAGACUAAAUCAUGGACUGGAGUUCAAAUCUCAGCUCUCUUGCUUAGAAGUCAUGCCUCAGUCUCCUCAUAUGCAAAGUAGAGGAAAAUGGAGGAAUUUAUCCCACUUGGUUGUGCUAAAAGAUAAACUGGUUUUAUUAAAAUAGUAAAGAGUUUAUUCGAACAGAGAGCAGUUCAUGAAUCAGGCGGCUCCAGAUUGCCAGCAGUCCACAGCUCCAACAAAGGAUCCUGAGGGGAGGAUUUUUAUAAGGUGCACGGAGAGGCAAGACAAAGAAAACAUCUGGCUGGUUUAAGUGCGGCAGUAGCCUAAUUUGAUUCAUUUCAGUGCACAGUUCCUAGUUAGAGUUUACUUGGCAGUUUCUGAUUAAACUUAAGUUUUGUUCUACUUCAACACUGAAUUGGGUUUUGGUUUACUUAUACAGGAACCCAGGGUGCUGGAGUUGCCUCAAUGUAAUGCCCUCCCAAUUAAUUAGCUGUUGCGAUCAUACAAGGAAUAAAUGCUGUCUGCCUUAUUUAUCAUUUUCUUGGCUGAAUCUGACUAUGCUAAUUCCAGACUUCAGACCCACAAUAUACAGUGAAGGAAGAAGAACCAUUCUUUCCAGUGUCUUUGUCUUUCUGUUAGCCUAGAGGGCGCAUGUAGAUUAAUUAGGAAACAUAUCCCCUUCCUUGAACCCCCACGCUGGAUGCUUUCUCACCUGAGGGUGACUUGUGUGCAUUAGACAACAAUGCCCAUUUGCUUUGUGUAAAGACAAAAGUGUUCUUUCUGGGUACCUGCCUCUCCACACUCCUCAUGGGCUGGUGAGCAGAAAUCAUAUGGGUCCACCCUAAAUUUCCUGGGCUGUGUGCUGUUGCUUCAAACCCUAUCUCAAAUGCCACUUAAUUUGCUUACACUGUAUCUUUAAAAUGGAAACUUUCAUCUUCCAUCAUAUCUUAUAAUUAUUUGUUUGUAUUUAAUUCCCCACAUCUGACAGUGAUCUCCACAGUGUCUUUUGCAAAUGUUCUUAAAUGUUUGUUCAUACUACUUAAUCUCUACGGAAUGGUACUGGAUCACUUUAACUUUAGGAGGUGGUGCCUUCUUAGACCUGAUAAAUCAAGUUUAGCUUAAAGCUGCCUCCUUACAUAUUUUAAGUUUGGUCUAAAGGUUUCUCCAUACAUUGUAAACUCUAACCUGACUGGAUGUGUAAAUAGACUGUAACCUACUCUUGUGCCACUCACUGAGCUUUGGUCAAUCACAGGUGCACAACUGUUCAAGUCAUGUUCAAAUAAGACAAACUGAGCUGUAACCAAUGGGCUGUUUUUGUACCUCAUUUUAGUUUUCUGUAAGUCACUUUCCUUCUAUCCAUAAAUCUUCCACCAUGUGGCUGUGCUGGAGUCUCUCUGAGCCUACUCUGGCUUGGAAGACUGCCUGAUUUGCUAAUCAUUCUUUGCUCAAAUUAAACUCUGUUAAAUUUAGUUAGUCCAGGGUUUUUUUUUUGUUUGUUUUUUUAAAAUCAAAUCUUCAGUGACUCUUUAUGGUGGUCAAUUAUGGCCAGGAUGGAUAGGAGACUACCAUGCAGAAAAGUAUGAGAGAGACUUGAAAACCAUGCAGUGAUCUUUAAAACCCUCUGAAUAUGUAUUUUCAAAUGCUGCUUUCAUAAGUCAUUAACCAUAAUUUAUUGAAUGUGUACUAUGUGUAUGGCAUUGUACUAGAUCCUUUAUAAACCAUAUAGAAUUUUUAUAGUAACCUUGAAAAGUAUGUGUUAUUAUAUCCACUGUACAUAUUGGGGGGACUGGAGGCUUAGAAAGUGGAAGUCGAGGCUUGCACACACUUAUUAUGAAAGGCCAGCUGGCAUGAUAGUGGUUCACCCUGAACAGCAGAUGGAACUGAUAACAGGCCCAUUAAAUUAUGGGCCAAAUAGUUUGCAACCUUAAGAAAUCCCUGUGAAAUGUUCAUAGAAUAUUAACUUCUUAUCUUAUCAAAGAAAAUUUUAACCCAUUGAAAUAUAAGAUUUGUGUUAGGGUCUGAAUGGCCAACCAUUUUUUUUUUUCUGUAUGUGUUUGAGAAUAAUGUGUUUUGCAAUUUUUACAUGCAGUAUUUUAUAUAAGCUUAUGGUACAGCUUGUUUAUUGUAUAAUUUAAAACUUCCUUGUCCUUACUAACUUUUGUCUGUUUAUUCUAUUGCUAAAAGUGGUAUAGUAAAUACACUACAAUAAUGCAUUUGUCAAUUUAUCUUUAGUUAUGUCACUUUCUGCUUCAUAUAUUUUGAGACCAUGUUAUUAGGUACAUAAAAUAUAAUAAUUAUAUUUUUUUCUGGCAAACUGAAGCUUAUUAUAAAUGACCCUCUUUGUUGCGAGUAAUGCCUUUUGCAUUUACAACUGAUGGAGACAGGACGCAGCCAAAAGUCCCUGGUGAAACCCCGCCUUCAAGCCUAAAACAGCCUGAAGGAUGAAAAACCAGACUUCUGGUGCCUGAUGAAGCCUGCCCUUUCCUGACUGAUUCUAAAUAAUGCCUACCUGCCAACUGGGAAGGCAGGGUGGAGCCUUCGGAAAUUCAUGACCUUCGCAGGGGAGAGGAGCUUGGCCUCUCCUAUUCCUGUGUGGUGACCUGGGAUUCAAACUGUGAGGCGGAAAACCUGCUAGCAGGAGUCUCGCUUUGCUGAGAGUUAUUUUUCUUUUCCUUUUUAUCCAAUAAAUUCCGUCUUCUCACGCUUCUAUGUGUCUGUGACCCUACUCUUUCCUGGUCGUGUGACAAGAGCCUGGUUUUAGCUGACCUAAGAAGAAAGUUCUGCAACAUUUUUGGUGUCCAGACGUGAGUCUUGAGGAAGGACAAGUACAGACAAUCACCAGGAACUAAGGAACAAGAAGCAUCCAACCCUGCAUCUGUGGGUUUCCUGAGGUGACUCUCAAUUGUCAUAGGGGUGAAGAGUGAGUGAGGAAACCCUUGGAGCACUUGUUUGCUUCACAGACAUCCUGACCUCCUUUCAACUGUAAAGACUUAGUCAGAGGACGGCGGCUCCCUCAGCCUCAUUCUGCAGUUCCAAUGACACUUUUUACAAAGGCUCUGUACUUGUCUGAUUCUUAAAUAUUCCAGUUUUUGAACUUUGCUGCAGUAGUUGUAUUCGAAAUGGGUUAAUUGUCUCAUUUUCUUUUUAAUGCCUACUCUUUCAAGGCUCAAAUCUUGAAUAGGUCAAAAAGAGCAAGAGGAAAAUGUCAGAGAAUGGAGAAAGGCAAAUACAGAGAAGCAGUGUGAACAUCCACCCGGCGAGGUGACCUGAUGGUGCUGCUCCAUGUCAGAGACAGUAGUGUCUGGGAAGAGGGAGCCCUUUCCACAGGGUGGAGCAAAAGGCCUGGAGCUGACACCUGGCUCCUGGGCCCACUCGCCCACCACCUCGAGCAACUCCCUUCCUUAACGUCUGCCCGAGUGUUAAGGGCUGAGCACAUGACCUCACAGGAGGAUGUGAGGGGCAGCGGUAACAUGUGUCUAGCACUUUGUCCCUUAUAAGUCACUCACAAAUACUUAUAUCCUUAUUAUCUUCAUCCUUUUCUCUUGAGUUUUUCUCUAAUUCUUUAAGAAGGAAACACGUAGCCAGGAAGUGGAGAGCCUCUCACAUACUUGGGGAGUUUUCAUAUUUCCCCCAUCAGUUCCUUUUCUGGCCUGAGCUCAUGCUCCCUAAGAUCAGGGCUUGGGCUUUGUUUUAGUCUGUGUUGUUAUAAAAGAAUAUCCAACAGUGUGUAAUUUAUAAAGAAAAGAGGUUGACUUGGCUCAUGGUUCUGCAGGCUGUACAGGAACAAGCUUGGCUCCAGCAUCUGCUUGGCUUCUAGGGAGGCCUCAGGAAGCCUUUACUCAUGGGGGAAGGCAAAGGGGAGCAGGCAUUAUGUGAGAGGAAGGAAGAGAGAGGCAGGGGAGGUGCCAGGCCCUUUUAAACAAUCAGCGCCCAUGGGAAAUAACAGAGCCAGAACUCACUCAUUAACUUCAGAAUGGCACCAAGCCAGUCAUAAGGAUCCACCUCCAUGACCCAGACACCUGCCACCAGGCCACGCCCAGUAUCAGGGAUCACAUUUUAACGUGAGACUCGGAGGGGACAAACAUCCAAAUCACAUCUGGCCCCAUAACCUUUGGAGACCUCAGCUCUGGCGCUAGGGUGGUAGGUCCCCUAAGGGUUCGUGCUCUCUGAAGGAAUUGGGUUACAUUACCUGGGAGAGCUUUCUGGAGGAAGUGAGCUUUGCUUCUCACAGGUUUCUAUAAGGAGAAGGAUGGGCUGUUGGAAAGGGAGUGAGUGUGUGUCCAAGUGAGGGAAAGUGAGGUUCAGCAUCUUGGUGCUCUUGGCUCAGCUUCCCUUUCUAUGCCAUGCACAGUGCCUCCAGGAUGCCAGGGGGUGCCAUCCCUGACCUGUUCUGGGGUGGGUGUGCAAGAUGCGAAAUGGCUAAUUUCAGUUCACUGGUAACUCUAACAUUUGGAUAAUAAUUGGCCAUAGCAUUAGCUUUGGUUAUACAUCUCCAAAUGUGUUAUUACAUUAUAUAUAUAUAUAUAUAUAUAUAUAUAUAUAUAUAUAUAUGCACACACACACGUAUACAUAUAUACACACAUCUACACUGUAUUGAUAUGUUGAUAUAUUGAUGUUAUGAAUUAUUUUAAAGAGUAUUCUAUUGAUGUAGAGGAUAAUAUGAAAUUCAAUAUUUUCUGGCACUCUUUUUAAAUGAUACUUAGGCCAUCUGAUGAAAACAGAGCUCAGUAAAGAUUUCUUAUUGAUAAAUCAACAUUACAAAUGAAGACUAGUUUCAUUGCCAUGAUCAGUAAAUUAAGGGUCAUAAAUUAACUGUUGAGUUAUUUUCUUUGCACUAUUAAGCCUUCCACUCAAUCUUUCUACAGUCUUUCUUAUUUAGCAAACGGUGUUACUUGAUAGAAACCUCUGCUGUGAUUUUGUUUUUUGAAAUUUAAUAAGAAAGCUAUAUAAUACAAUUCUCGGGGGAAAACAAGCAAGGUAGGUUUUUCACGGUAACCUCCAAGCAGAGAAAUGGUUUCAGUGCGCAGUCCAGUGAAUUUCCUCCAUAGAGUGUGCUGGAAGAAGUCACCUGGAAGUGAUCACCAGAGUGAUAUUCAGUUUGACUCUCAUUGGGUUUCACAGAGCCAAGCAGAAAAGGAGCACAGGUGACCUUGGCAGGAAGGCAUGCAUGGGAGAGCAGGUCUGCACUCUGGGACACCAGCCUCAACAGAAUACGAGUUUUGAAUUUUUGAAUUGCUGUUAAAACUUUCAUCAUGAACACUGAAGUGAGUGAAAAGAGACUUUUGCAGUCAUUUUUUUGCUGGCUGCAGAUGACAGUGACACCCUGGGAGUUGAGAAAUGCUUGUAAGAUGGAAGGAGGCUGUGUCCCUGAAUGAUCACCUGGAAGAGAGCCACCUUAGCCAAUGAAACUCCUGCUAUGAAUGUUUGCUGAGCAAGAAAUAUACUUACUGCUUUAUAUGCCUUUGAAGCUAUAGGUUCAUAUUGUUACCACAAUUUAAAGUGCUAUAAUAAAAAGAGUUCAGGAAGCAGGCACAUGGAAGCAAUAAGAGCAACAAACAUUUACACAGUUCUCAGGUCCCUGGACCAUGAAGGGCCACAUCCAAGGAGCUACCCCAGGAGGCCUCUCAUUUGCAUUUGUCCCCGCUAAUGCAGGACAGAGAUCAUGGAAGUUGGGCCCGACUGGAUGAGAUUUGGGGGUCUUUGGAAGUGGAGAAUGUGUUUGCCCUGGGGAAGAGAGGUGAUGUCUAGGAGACCUCUUCACUCAGGGCAAGCUCUAUGACCUGCUUUGACUCCAGAAUGUGGUAGAAGUGGCAUCACAUAAAUUGCAGAGCCUAGGCUUCAAGAGACCUUGCAACUUGCCUCUCACUGACUUGAAGUGCUCCCAUCAGAGCAUCUUGUAAGGAGCAGGUGGAGCAUGUGGACAAGCCAUCCCCACCAGCCCCUGAGACAUGUGAGAGAGGCCAGAACAGGCCAUCCGGACCCCACUGUGCUGGUGGAUGAGACAGCAGAAGGAAUAUCAACCUACCAACAGAAUCCUGAGAAAUGCUCACUCUUACUUCAAGCUGCUGCAUUUUGAUGUUAUGAAACCAUAAAUAACUUAUGAAGUCAUCUUUGCUGACUUAAAGUUUUCCAUAACUUUAUUAUAACAUAUCAAAAUUAUGAAAAAUGUGAAAAGUAGAAAACUGAUGAAUUUUGCUUCUUCAUAUGGUCUUUAAGAAUCUCAAAGGCACUGAAGUUUUUUAUCUUUUCUGUCUUAGAAUAAAAAACCUUGAAUGAAAAUCUGCUUCUUGGAAAAGCAGCAAGGUUUAUGCAGAGGCAAUCUGGUAUUUGUGUGCACUGGCAGCUGAUCAUACCCAGCAUGCACGCACUCUCAGGGCAGAGUCUGAUGCCCCACAUAAUGGGGCAUGGUAAGGACUCCCAUGUCCUUGAGAUAAAAUGAUAAGGAAAAUACACACUGCUAUUAGAAUAACAGGCCCAGCUUCUGCACAUUUUAAUUCCCAAAGUUUUCAUGAAAGACAAUGAUUUUUUGGUACCAUGUUUAACUCUACAAGAAUCAGUAGUGAAAACUAAAAAUGAUACUUUGUGAAAGUUCAUUAAUUUUGUUUUCAGCCAGUGGUGGCCUUGGUCAGAUAGAAUCAAAUCUAUGAUACUUUUUAUCAGAAAUGCUUAUACUGUGUACAAACCCAAAGUGAUGGCUUUCAAAGAUUGAAUUUGAUUAUUUUCUGUAUGGUGCAGAUGAAAAAUUACUACACAGGAGAAGGUGGGUUGGAGGUGCUCACGAGUAACCAGGAAACAGUCUGAAGUUUUUCUGAUACUUCUCCUUGGUCCAACCAAAUGUGAGAUAUAAACACAAACUUGGGAUUCCGUUCUUAUGUUUUGGUUGUUUCAGUCUUUACAGAUGUAUCGAAAGGCUGUCCAAAAAUGUCUGACUUCUGUAGUGUGCCUUCGUAGCACUAGAGGGUUCUGCAGCUGUGAAACUGAAGGCAUUGGCAAGAAGCCCUCCAUCUUCAAACCACUUUCUGCUAAGGUGUGGCUCUAUAAAACCACUAUGAGCUGGGCUUCACUGAGACUGAGUUGUUUCAGUAGGAUCUUCCGGAAAAACAUGUUCCCUCCUUUACCUGGGUUGUCAUUCUGAGAACAAUCACACCUCCAAUUUUGGCUUACUAAGCAAUAGCGUUUUAAUGAUUUUAAGCCAGGAUUUGCUCCUCCUUUCCUCAGUAUGAGAGCUUAACCACUGGAGGAACCAAGAAUUCAUGCUGGUUGGGUUCUGAUUCCACUUUAACUUACUGUAUAGCCUCAUCCCUUGUUUUUCUGGAGAUUCUCUUUUUCUGCUUCACUGAUUUAUAUUUACAUUAAAAUCAAAUGAGGCCAUGUUUCUGAAAUCACAUUGUCCCUACAUGGUCAUUACAAUGAGUCUGUAAUGUGACUGAAAGACAGCCAUGGAUACAGGUAGAGGAUAUCAGGCAAUUGAAUGCUCAUCAAGCAUUCAAUUCAGGGCAAAUGGCAUAAGGUAUGCAGUUGGCCUCUUCUGAUAUCUGUGUCUUAAUCCUUUCUUUAGCCUCUGUUUUCUGGACCAAGGCUAAGAUAUUUUCUGGGCACAGUGGCUCAUGCCUAUAAUCCCAGCACUCUGGGAGGCCAAGGUGGGAGGAUUUCUUCAGCCCAGGAGUUCGAGACCAGCCUGGGGAACAUAGGAGACCUCAUUCCUACAAAUAAUAAAAAAAAUUAGCCAGCUCUGGUGGCGUGUGCUUAUUGGUCUCAGCUACUUGGGAGGCUGAGGUGGGAGGACUGCUUGAGCCCAGAAGAUCGCAGCUGCAUUGAGCCAUGAUUGUGCCACUGAACCCUAGCCUGAGCAACAGAGCAAGGCCUUAUCUCAAAAAAAAAAAAAAAUUCUGAGCCUUCUAAUUUUUUUUUUCUUUAAUUAACUUUCUGUAAGCCCAGCAAGUAAAUAAAACACUUAUUUUAUGAAGCAUCUAGUUGCUUUUAGGGGAAGGGACAUCCUCCGCAUAGUAUCUAGGCCAGCUCACUUUCUUCUCCUUACUGUUGAUUUACUCUCUGCCAUUGAAUCUUCUGUGCCAAUGUUGGAUUAAUGUUUCCGGGCCCUACUUUCAUCAUGCUCCUCUGUAUUAUCACCUGUUUUGGUUUACAGCAAUGAUUUUUAAGGUAAGGCAUGGUGUGUCCAUCAUAGUCACAUGGGAACUUUUUCAAGCCAUAUUAAAAAUGUCCCCCAUUCAUCAUUCUGCCCCUGGAACAGUGUGUGCAGUUGGGACCUUCAAGUAAAUCUACUUUGUUGAAACCCACUGAUCAGCAUGGUGUAUUUCAUAACUCUUUGACUUACAUUCAAGAAAUUCCUUAACCUGAACUCCAUUUUACUCUUUUUUUCAUUCAUUCAAAUUAAGAAUAUUGCCUGAACAUGAAUUAUCUGCUAGACGUUUUUCUAGGUGCAGGAGGAGUAAGGAUGAACAUAACUAGCCAUAACUAUAGCUAUCAAUUGUGGAGUGUCUGUUAUGUGCCAGGCACUUUUAAGUGACCUACUCGAUUUACUUGCAUGACAAACUGUGAGGAAAAGCCCAAUAUUAUCCCCUAUUAACAGAUGAGGAAACUGAAGCACAAACAGCAUGAAUAGUUUGUUCCAGAUUGCAUCAUAAGAGGCACAGCCAGCUUUCCUACCAAAGCAGCCCUGGCCCAGAGUCCGUACUCCCUCCUCCCCUGCCUCUGCCUGGUGGAUAAGGUCACCCUGGCCUUGUGGAACUUAUGCUCUAGUGGGGACAAAUAGUUAUAGAGAAUGACCGAUGUUACUAAGAAAAUAAAAGCUGGUAAGAAAACAGAAGCACUGAGGAGGUGACUGAAGUGAGCAUUUAUAAUUUUAUGUUAUAUCCAUUGUAAAAUAUAAGUUUAGCUUUCUCAUACCAGAAGCAGGGCUCAGUCCACCCUUGACUCAGUUUCCAAUACUGUUCCCCAUCAGAAUGGCUCUUGCUGGUGGCCAGAAGUAAAACUUAGAAAUAUCUCUCUCAGAGACACCUAAGCAGGCUGGGCUCCCCGGUUUCCUGUUGCUUCCUUUAAAGAAGCUCUUCAGACAUCUGCACAAGAACUCAAAGUGACCACCUCUCAGCCCAGCAUGACCUACUGGAACUAAUGCCUGCUUGCUUUCAACCUACCAAUUAAAGCUCCCCAGGAAACCUGUUUAGAUAACACCCUGGACCCAAGAAAGGUGCUGGGCCAUGGGUUUCUUCUCUCUCUCCCUAUCUGUGCUCCCUGACCCCCUGUGUGUGUGUGGUCUCUAGGCUUGCCUUCUAUCCCUGAGGGUCUGUAAAUACUAAAAACACUUAAACUUUCAUAUUGUAGUUGUGUCUUUGAAGCCAGGUCCCCAUCCCGUACCUUGAGGGCAAGGCCUCCUGGAAGGGACCCAUGUAGGUGGAUCCCCUGCUGUCCAGGCCUCUUAGCUGCUGGGGUAGUGACCAGUUAAGUGGAUAGAGUUUCAUUCAAAACAAUAAUCAUUCAACUGUAUCUCACAUCAAACCUCUGCUCUAGUUUAUGUAUCUACUUUAUGUUCUUAGAAGACUGUGCAAACACAUUGUCUUUUUUGAGUACCUGUCUUGUCCUAGGUACUCUGCUUGGUACGGGGAGAGACGAAUCUUCUGUCUUCAGGGGCUUCCACUCCAGCAGGGAGAACAUGACUAAUAGUGACUGCCUGCUGCUGUAGGUAAUAAGUGGCUCCCACUAGGCCCUCCAUUUGGUGGCCCCCUGUCCCUCUCACUGGUGGAAGCCUACCUGUCCUCUAAGGACCAGCUCACUAAUGUCCUAGAUCCUCACGGACCAGAUUGCUUUUCUCAGAACUGAAGAGCACUUACUAAUGGCACCUCUUGUCAUAUGCCAUCCCAGGAUUUGAAUUUUUUUUUUUUUUCUGUCUUGUGGCCCAAAUAAAUCCUGAACUCCUCGAGGGCUGGGAGUGUAUCUAGCAGUUUCCUUAUACUGGACUAAUCAGAUGCUGACUAGGUAGCAGUGAGAAAAAUCUAGAAAUUCCCUUUUAGCCACAUCGACUUACACGAGGGGAUGUGUGUAAGGUACUAUAGCUCUUUAAACAAGAGGUGGUCUCGUUUGAAGGGUGGAUUGAUGUGGGUGUUCAAAUGAUGUCACAAGUGGCUGGUUUCUCUGUCUCCAUUUCUUUUUUUUUUGGCUCCAUUUCCAAAUUUCCCAGAUAGCACAGCAAGUUGGCCCCAGCAGCUCUAGACACUCCAUCUUCUCAGGGCAUAGCCAACACAAUAAAAUAUUUCAAGUUCCUGAAAGAUAGCUGAAAUAAGCCCUAGAAGUUUCUGGAUUGGGAGCAGAGCCAAACCUGCCAGCUCACAUAGAUGAGGGCAGGGAAUAGGGUGUCUCACGAUCACAGUGUCCUGCCUUCUGAUUUGCCUGGGACUGUCCUGUUUUGGCACCAAAAAUAUCUGCAUCCUAGGAAACCCUCAGGUCCUGGGCAAAUUCAGACAGUGACUUGCCCUAUCAGAAGCAAAGCAAGGUGCCAUUACCUGAGGUGGGCAAAUUCAGACAGUGACUUGCCCUAUCAGAAGCAAAGCAAGGUUGCCAUUACCUGAGGUGGGCAAAUGGAGGCUGGGUGGCCAGUGAGUGACCAAUAACCCCAGCAUUGGAGAGAGUGGAGCAGCCCUUCAAGAAGUUCCAACCUCUGCCCAGGACUGGUUUUACCAACUUCACUAGGCUUAGAAUCGUAGGAAGUCUAUUUGGGACUUGCGAGUCUCACGUAUUCCUGCCUAAAUGUUUAUGGAUACCUGUUUAGAGCUGAAAUCUUUUCAGCUCCCAUAAUAUGAGGGAAUUAGGUCUCAAAGAAGAUCAUGUAUUUUGAUCAGACCUUAUAGCUGAGCAGUGGAAAGAAAAAAAAUCAGUGUGAGAUCUCCCAGGGUUCCGCAGGAGUGGCUUCCUUAGUCCAACUGGCAGCCUAUCCUGGAAUAUUGCCUGGGAGAGAGGUUAGUUGCUUUUCCUGGUGCUAGGAACUGAAUGGUUUUACAUAUUGAUCAAUGAAAAUACUUAUUUGGCCUACAAUAGGUGCAAAAAUACUGCUAAUUACUAACAGUAUCUCUUCUUUGCUGCGUGCCAGACACUCCACUGGGCAUUAUGCAGUUAAUAUGUACCAUGAAUUUCCCGUGGUUAGCAAUGAUGUCAGGCAUAGAAAAGACAUGAAAUUAUGAUGUCAAAUGAAUAAACUGGAAAAAGGAAUUUCUUGAAUUUUCUCCAGCUGUCCUAAGAAUGUAUCUAUACUUUGAUCCUGGCCUACCUUUUCAACAUCUAAACUUUAUUCCCCCAAGCUUCUAGAUAUUCAAAGUUAAGUAUUAAAUAAAAUCAGUAAAUAUAUACAAGCUUGUUUGGCCAUUCUGAAUAAGGUUAUAUUUCCACCACACAAUCUCCAAAUUCUCUAGCAGAAGGGAUCAGUAUGUUAUAGAUACCCCCUUUCCUUCCCUCCCUGGCAAGCCACCACAUCUGUUAUGGGUACUCAAUGCAGUGGCUGCACCUGGGCCUCACUCAUUAAGCAGUUGUUGAUUGAGUGACUGAAUUGAAUGCCUGAUGAGCUCGCAAGUAAGAUUCAGACUGUGCCUGCAAACUAAUAGGAUCCCUCCGCUUUUUAUUCACUACUGCUGAGGUAGAUCUCAGGCCAGCCUGAAGUUUAGGUCUACUGAGAAAUAAUAAGCCUCAAAAAUCGAGCUUUGCUUCACCCAGUCUCCCAGUAAACACUAAGAAAUGUUCACAUUAUUUACACAUCCUAGACUGCCUGUCUUAUGGACCAAAUGUUUGUGUUCUCCCCGCAAUUUAUACAUUGGAAUCCUAACCCUCAAUGUAAUAGCAUUAGGUGCUGGGGUCUUUGGGAGGUGAUUGGCUAAUGGACCUGGAGCCCUCAUGAUGGGAUGAGUCCCCUUAUCAGAAGAGACCUGAGAAGGCUUGCUUCCUCUCCCUGUGCUCUUCAUGAUGUGAAGACACAAGAAGACAGCCAUCUGUGGGCCAGGAAGAGGUCCUCACUGGAACCCAACCAUGCUGGCACCCCAAUCUUGAAUUUCUAGCUUCAAGAACUUGGGAAAUAAAUGUAAGCCAGCCAGCUUAUGGAUUUGUUACAGCAGCCUAAGCUAAGUCAGAGUCUCUAGAACAGCUGGUCUGGGGCAGCGGUGAAGGGAGGUGGGUGGGCAUAUGACCCUGCCCUGCACAUGAAUGGCAAAGGCAACUGGAGAGCCUCUCCCUUUUGGUGAGAUCCCCAGUCCACAAGGGCAUGUUCAUCCAUAGCUUUACUUCCCGAAGCAAAUUCUGGUUCCUGGGGCCUGUGCCUCCAUAGAUGGCAUGAUCUGCAGCCUCCUGUGGUAAUUUACCCUCUUCCUAAAUUUCUGAGUCUUCACAUUUAAGCAAUCCUAGUUAGAUAUCCUCUACCUGUAUCCAUGGCUGUCUUUCAGUCACAUUACAGACUCAUUGUGAUGACCAUGUAGGGACAAUGUGAUUUCAGAAACAUGGCCUCAUUUGAUUUUAAUGUAAAUAUAAAUCAGUGAAGCAGAAAAAGAGAAUCUCCAGAAAAACAAGGGAUGAGGCUGUACAGCAAGUUAAAGUGGAAUCAGAACCCAACUGUAGUCCAUUAUUUGUUUCAAUCCUGCUCUUUUCUACCAUAUCACCCAGUUUCCAAAUCGUUCAGCAAAUUGCCAUGGUCAAUGGGAUUAACCUUUCCCUUUUAUUCUCAGGAAAUCUCCCUUGUCCAUUUUGCAAGACUGUGUGAUUCUUUCUACUGUUACAAGGAAUAAAAGCCUUCCUAAAAAGGUCUUUGGUGCCUUUAUUAUUUUACGGAUCAUUUCUGAGGGAAUUAUUGAACUUCAUUAUGUAACCACCCCUUGGGUUCACCUUGCCCACUGCCUAGACAGAGCCAAUUUAUCCAGACAGGAGAAUUGCAAUGGAGAAAGAGUAAUUC
This 16988-nucleotide long non-coding RNA is filed under the name Homo sapiens (human). RNAcentral's name for it is "HSALNT0136848". Lineage: Eukaryota; Metazoa; Chordata; Mammalia; Primates; Hominidae. The record is from RNAcentral.